RNAcentral lists this ribosomal RNA (347 nucleotides) under uncultured bacterium. RNAcentral's name for it is "bacterial SSU rRNA". It matches the Rfam family "Bacterial small subunit ribosomal RNA", at positions 960 to 1307 of the family's 1533-position model. The record is from RNAcentral.
CGUGAAAGAACCUUACCCAGACUUGACAUGCAGAAGACAGCUUUAGAGAUAGAGUGUUCCUUAGGGACUUCUGCACAGGUGCUGCAUGGCUGUCGUCAGCUCGUGCCGUGAGGUGUUGGGUUAAGUCCCGCAACGAGCGCAACCCUUAUCAUUAGUUGCCAACACGUAAUGGUGGGAACUUUAAUGAGACUGCCCGGGUUAACCAGGAGGAAGGUGAGGAUGACGUCAAGUCCGCAUGGCCCUUAUGUCUGGGGCUACACACGUGCUACAAUGGUCGGUACAGAAGGCAGCGAAGCCGUGAGGUGAAGCAAAUCCCAAAAAACCGAUCCCAGUUCAGAUGUAGUUUG